GAUGAACGCUGGCGGCGUGCCUAAUACAUGCAAGUAGAACGCUGAAGGAGGAGCUUGCUCUUCUGGAUGAGUUGCGAACGGGUGAGUAACGCGUAGGUAACCUGCCUGGUAGCGGGGGAUAACUAUUGGAAACGAUGGCAAAAACCGCAGGACAACAUUUAUUGAAUAUUAAUGGUUAAAAAGGGGCAACGCCCCCACACCCGGUGGAACUUGCGUUGUAUUAGCUAGUAGGGGAGGUAACGCCUCACCAAGGCGACGAUACAUAGCCGACCUGAGAGGGUGAUCGGCCACACUGGGACUGAGACACGGCCCAGACUCCUACGGGAGGCAGCAGUAGGGAAUCUUCGGCAAUGGACGGAAGUCUGACCGAGCAACGCCGCGUGAGUGAAGAAGGUUUUCGGAUCGUAAAGCUCUGUUGUAAGAGAAGAACGAGUGUGAGAGUGGAAAGUUCACACUGUGACGGUAUCUUACCAGAAAGGGACGGCUAACUACGUG
Molecule: ribosomal RNA, 495 nt
Filed under: uncultured bacterium
Lineage: Bacteria
Description: partial 16S ribosomal RNA
Rfam family: Bacterial small subunit ribosomal RNA
Source: RNAcentral